RNAcentral lists this non-coding RNA (23 nucleotides) under Arabidopsis thaliana (thale cress). Lineage: Eukaryota; Viridiplantae; Streptophyta; Magnoliopsida; Brassicales; Brassicaceae. The record is from RNAcentral.
AUCAAAACAGGUGUAAAUGUCCA